GUGUCAGCCGCCGCGGUAAUACAGAGGGUGCGAGCGUUGUCCGGAAUCACUGGGCGUAAAGGGCGCGUAGGCGGCUCGGUAAGCGUGUGGUGAAAGCCCGGGGCUCAACCCCGGGUCGGCCAUGCGAACUGUCGAGCUGGAGCACGGUAGAGGCACAUGGAAUUCCGGGUGUAGCGGUGGAAUGCGUAGAGAUCCGGAAGAACACCGGUGGCGAAGGCGGUGUGCUGGGCCGUAGCUGACGCUGAGGCGCGACAGCGUGGGGAGCAAACAGGAUUAGAAACCCCCGUAGUCC
Molecule: ribosomal RNA, 292 nt
Filed under: uncultured bacterium
Lineage: Bacteria
Description: partial 16S ribosomal RNA
Rfam family: Bacterial small subunit ribosomal RNA
Source: RNAcentral